AAGAAGACUUCGUGGCCAGAGGUGGUCGGGCUGACUAUCAAGGAGGCCACGGAGAUCAUCCUCAAGGACAAGCCUGACGCCGACAUCGUGGUCGUGCCGGUUGGUUCAGCGGUGACCCAAGACUUCAGGCUGAACCGCGUUCGCAUCUUCGUCGGCACCGUCGCCGAGACCCCCCAGGUUGGCUAG
RNAcentral lists this ribosomal RNA (186 nucleotides) under Triticum aestivum (bread wheat). Its description in RNAcentral is "partial small subunit ribosomal RNA". Lineage: Eukaryota; Viridiplantae; Streptophyta; Magnoliopsida; Poales; Poaceae. The record is from RNAcentral.